ACGGACCGGAAACUCGCCCUCUUCUGCUGGAGACGGUUGCAGCAGGCGGCGUUGCGCAUCAGCUCUUCUCAGCCUUUGCCUUCUUCGAGAUUCUCCGCGUAGAUGCCACGCCGCUACUGAUGAUAACCAGACGUCUUCACUGUGUCGACCUUUUAAGGUCUCACGCUGAGGUAGCAGGAGAUGCGUGAUCCUUUGUCUCCUUCCCUGAGGACAGAUAGACGGUAGCAGCAGUAAUGGAGCUACACUGGCACUGACCCUCAUGACGUUCUCGAUUUGCAAGAUUAUGGAACCAUUUGACUGACCAGAGCACACGGAGCCACAUUUUAACGCCAUACUACAUCCAAAAUGGACAGUUACUUUUGUUGUUGUAAUGAAUAAUUAAUAAUUAAUUUACUUAAUUGUGAGAAUUUAUUUCUGAUAUGUAUUCUUAGAUGCAAUAUUCUGUAUUCAGAUUUUUGGGUAAUGCUUACAGGACACCCUUCGUCUUACCUCUGCAUUCAGUAUGUAUUUGUUUGGCUGUGUUUGAUCAGUGUACCACUUCGAAGGAAUGAAAUAAAGGAAUUUAAUCUUG
Molecule: long non-coding RNA, 571 nt
Organism: Archocentrus centrarchus (flier cichlid)
Lineage: Eukaryota; Metazoa; Chordata; Actinopteri; Cichliformes; Cichlidae
Exons: 6
Source: RefSeq, a predicted model, not a curated record